Molecule: ribosomal RNA, 114 nt
Filed under: Acinetobacter baumannii
Lineage: Bacteria; Pseudomonadati; Pseudomonadota; Gammaproteobacteria; Moraxellales; Moraxellaceae
Also listed under: 464 other names
Source: RNAcentral
UGGCGACCAUAGCAAGAGUGAACCACCUGAUCCCUUCCCGAACUCAGAAGUGAAACCUCUUAGCGCUGAUGGUAGUGUGGGAUUACCCAUGUGAGAGUAAGUCAUCGCCAGCUC